ACGUAGGCAGCGAGCGUUGUUCGGAAUUACUGGGCGUAAAGGGUGCGUAGGCGGUUUUCUAAGCCGGAUGUGAAAACUCUGGGCUCAACCCAGAGCCUGCAUCUGAAACUGGAGAGCUAGGGUUUUGGAGGGGAAAGCGGAAUUCCAGGUGUAGCGGUGAAAUGCGUAGAUAUCUGGAGGAACACCGGUGGCGAAGGCGGCAUCCUGGACCGACACUGACGCUGAGGAGCGAAAGCCAGGGGAGCAAACGGGA
This 253-nucleotide ribosomal RNA is filed under the name uncultured prokaryote. Its description in RNAcentral is "partial 16S ribosomal RNA". It matches the Rfam family "Bacterial small subunit ribosomal RNA", at positions 525 to 777 of the family's 1533-position model. The record is from RNAcentral.